This 235-nucleotide unclassified non-coding RNA is filed under the name fungal sp. RNAcentral describes it as "partial internal transcribed spacer region". The stretch from base 1 to 46 matches the Rfam family "Eukaryotic small subunit ribosomal RNA", at positions 1786 to 1831 of the family's 1831-position model. RNAcentral also lists the same sequence under 1 other name. The record is from RNAcentral. Lineage: Eukaryota; Fungi.
AAGUCGUAACAAGGUUUCCGUAGGUGAACCUGCGGAAGGAUCAUUAACAAAUUUUCCCAACCUCCCCACGUUUGUGAACUGUUAUCAAGCCCAUGGUGUGCUAUCAAAGUCGGCAUUGGCACGAACCAAUGCGCGGACUUUGUGGAGCAUCAUGUUGAUUUACAUUUUAUUUUACACCUGAACUGAGACUUUAUUUUAAUAAAGACAACUUUUAGCAACGGAUCUCUAGGCUCUC